Molecule: long non-coding RNA, 707 nt
Organism: Rhagoletis pomonella (apple maggot)
Lineage: Eukaryota; Metazoa; Arthropoda; Insecta; Diptera; Tephritidae
Exons: 3
Source: RefSeq, a predicted model, not a curated record
UCGUUGAUGGCGUGUAGAGUAGAAUGAAGCGUCCAAGCAAGUGUUCAAUGUAUUGCAGAUGAAGCGCAUAUAUGUAUGAAUGUAUAUGAUUUGCGAAAUUUGACAGUCAAAACAUGAUCGACGACGAUUAUGAAGAGUUUACCAUUUGAUGAGGAUGAACGAUGGCGCGUAGUUAUUGUUGAUAAAUUUAUGUUAAGUGGUAAAUAAUCACCAGUCACCAGAAUAUAAUUUUUAAAUUGUCGUAUUUUGGUGUAGUUGUUGUCGUUGUUAAAUGCAAAAGACGUCGUCCAGCACCGAAUGCGCAAUAGUGCAAGUAUUAUACGAAUAUUUGUCGAACCACAAGGGUAAUAUACACGAUCAUAAGGCAAAAAGCAGCAUUGAAUGAAAAAAUACAUUGACAAUUCAGAGGAAGAAUUGAUAUUUAUGCUACCACCGCAAUUUUGUCUAUUAUGCGGCUUAAUGCUACCGAUGUGAAUGUUGUCCCCAAGUAGAAUUGCAACUAGAUUGUGCCCGUGCCUAUUCUUCAUCGGAAUCACCCUCACUUGAAUAGCCGGUUUGUUGCGGUCGCCGUACAAAUGGUGCUGUUAUAACUUGACUACAAAAUAUGUACAUGGUGAUUUAACCAUUCUUCCAGCAUUUGUGCAACCAACAGCGGUCGUUUUCGCAAUUUCUGCUGCGCCACAAGUAAACCUCCAUCAGUAACGCAC